Molecule: ribosomal RNA, 254 nt
Filed under: uncultured bacterium
Lineage: Bacteria
Description: partial 16S ribosomal RNA
Rfam family: Bacterial small subunit ribosomal RNA
Source: RNAcentral
CACGUAGGGGGCGAGCGUUGUCCGGAUUUAUUGGGCGUAAAGAGCUCGUAGGCGGUUUCGUAAGUCGGAUGUGAAAACUCCAGGCUCAACUUGGAGACGCCAUUCGAUACUGCGAUGACUUGAGUCCGGUAGGGGAGUGUGGAAUUCCUGGUGUAGCGGUGAAAUGCGCAGAUAUCAGGAGGAACACCGGUGGCGAAGGCGGAUCUCUGGGCCGAUACUGACGCUGAGGAGCGAAAGCGUGGGGAGCGAACAGG